UACGUAGGGGGCAAGCGUUGUCCGGAUUUAUUGGGCGUAAAGAGCUCGUAGGCGGUUCGGUAAGUUGGGUGUGAAACCUCCAGGCUCAACCUGGAGACGCCACCCGAUACUGCUGUGACUAGAGUCCGGUAGGGGAGCGUGGAAUUCCUGGUGUAGCGGUGAAAUGCGCAGAUAUCAGGAGGAACACCAGCGGCGAAGGCGGCGCUCUGGGCCGGAACUGACGCUGAGGAGCGAAAGCGUGGGUAGCAAACAGG
Molecule: ribosomal RNA, 254 nt
Filed under: uncultured bacterium
Lineage: Bacteria
Description: partial 16S ribosomal RNA
Rfam family: Bacterial small subunit ribosomal RNA
Source: RNAcentral